RNAcentral lists this long non-coding RNA (320 nucleotides) under Mytilus galloprovincialis (Mediterranean mussel). Lineage: Eukaryota; Metazoa; Mollusca; Bivalvia; Mytilida; Mytilidae. The record is from RNAcentral.
CCUGGUUUCAGAUUUCAAAUCCUAAGUCCGAUGAUUUGUAUUUUAAUAAUUUAGUCAGUUACCUCGCUGAUCAAACAUAUGCAGUUAUAUAUUAUCAUUUUCAAGUCCCAAGUCCGAUGAUUUGUAUUUUUAAUAAUUUAGUCAGUUACCUCGCAGAUCAAACAUAUGCAGUUAUAUAUUAUCAACUGUCUUAAUUUACUGCAUCUAACAUGUCUAACGCGCUUUUCUACACUUCAUGUCUCUCUAAUGAUGAGUCCGUCAUAUUCGAAAAAUUUAAGAAUAUUCCAACAUGGAUCAGAUCAAUAUGAACCCUGAAAAAG